UACGAAGGGGGCUAGCGUUGCUCGGAAUCACUGGGCGUAAAGGGCUCGUAGGCGGCCAACUAAGUCAGACGUGAAAUCCCUCGGCUUAACCGGGGAACUGCGUCUGAUACUGGAUGGCUUGAGUUUGGGAGAGGGAUGCGGAAUUCCAGGUGUAGCGGUGAAAAUGCGUAGAUAUCUGGAGGAACACCAGUGGCGAAGGCGGCUCACUGGCCCGAUACUGACGCUGAGGCACGAAAGCGUGGGGAGCAAACAGG
RNAcentral lists this ribosomal RNA (254 nucleotides) under uncultured bacterium. Its description in RNAcentral is "partial 16S ribosomal RNA". It matches the Rfam family "Bacterial small subunit ribosomal RNA", at positions 524 to 776 of the family's 1533-position model. The record is from RNAcentral.